Molecule: ribosomal RNA, 510 nt
Filed under: uncultured bacterium
Lineage: Bacteria
Description: partial 16S ribosomal RNA
Source: RNAcentral
GGAGUUAGCCGGUGCUUCUUCUGCGAGUAACGUCACAGCUAGCAGGUAUUAACUACUAACCUUUCCUCCUCGCUGAAAGUGCUUUACAACCCGAAGGCCUUCUUCACACACGCGGCAUGGCUGCAUCAGGGUUUCCCCCAUUGUGCAAUAUUCCCCACUGCUGCCUCCCGUAGGAGUCUGGGCCGUGUCUCAGUCCCAGUGUGGCUGAUCAUCCUCUCAGACCAGCUAGGGAUCGUUGCCUAGGUGAGCCAUUACCUCACCUACUAGCUAAUCCCACCUGGGCUUAUCCAUCAGCGCAAGGACCGAAGUUCCCCUGCUUUCCCCCGUAGGGCGUAUGCGGUAUUAGCAGUCGUUUCCAACUGUUAUCCCCACAAAUGGGCAAAUUCCCAGGCAUUACUCACCCGUCCGCCGCUCGUCAUCUUCAAAAGCAAGCUUUUGAAAUGUUACCGCUCGACUUGCAUGUGUUAGGCCUGCCGCCAGCGUUCAAUCUGAGCCAGAAUCAAACUCUGA